RNAcentral lists this ribosomal RNA (468 nucleotides) under uncultured bacterium. RNAcentral describes it as "partial 16S ribosomal RNA". It matches the Rfam family "Bacterial small subunit ribosomal RNA", at positions 28 to 507 of the family's 1533-position model. The record is from RNAcentral.
GACGAACGCUGGCGGCGUGCUUAACACAUGCAAGUCGAACGGAAAGGCCCUGCUUUUGUGGGGUGCUCGAGUGGUGAACGGGUGAGUAACACGUGAGUAACCUGCCCUUGACUUUGGGAUAACUUCAGGAAACUGGGGCUAAUACCGGAUAGGAGCUCCUGCUGCAUGGUGGGGGUUGGAAAGUUUCGGCGGUUGGGGAUGGACUCGCGGCUUAUCAGCUUGUUGGUGGGGUAGUGGCUUACCAAGGCUUUGACGGGUAGCCGGCCUGAGAGGGUGACCGGCCACAUUGGGACUGAGGUACGGCCCAGACUCCUACGGGAGGCAGCGGUGGGGAAUAUUGCACAAUGGGCGGAAGCCUGAUGCAGCAACGCCGCGUGCGGGAUGACGGCCUUCGGGUUGUAAACCGCUUUCGCCUGUGACGAAGCGUGAGUGACGGUAAUGGGUAAAGAAGCACCGGCUAACUACGUG